This 876-nucleotide ribosomal RNA is filed under the name uncultured SAR156 cluster gamma proteobacterium. RNAcentral describes it as "SSU rRNA". It matches the Rfam family "Bacterial small subunit ribosomal RNA", at positions 32 to 882 of the family's 1533-position model. The record is from RNAcentral. Lineage: Bacteria; Pseudomonadati; Pseudomonadota; Gammaproteobacteria.
AACGCUGGCGGUAGGUUUUAUACAUGCAAGUCGAGCGGUAACAGACAUUUUUGAUUCAGCUUGCUGAAUCUUGUGCUGACGAGCGGCGAACGGGUGAGUAACGCGUAGGAAUCUGCCCAGUAGCGGGGGAUAGCCCGAGGAAACUCGGAUUAAUACCGCAUACGCCCUAAGGGGGAAAGAAGGCCUCUCCUUGGAAGCUUUCACUAUUGGAUGAGCCUGCGUAAGAUUAGUUUGUUGGUGAGGUAAUGGCUCACCAAGGCGACGAUCUUUAGCUGGUCUGAGAGGACGACCAGCCACAUUGGGACUGAGACACGGCCCAGACUCCUACGGGAGGCAGCAGUAAAGAAUCUUGGACAAUGGGGGAAACCCUGAUCCAGCCAUACCGCGUGUGUGAAGAAGGCCUUAGGGUUGUAAAGCACUUUAAGCAACCAGGAAGAAAAGUAAGUUAAUACCUUAUUUUUUUGACAUUAAUUGCAGAAUAAGUACCGGCUAACUCCGUGCCAGCAGCCGCGGUAAUACGGAGGGUACAAGCGUUAAUCGGAAUUACUGGGCGUAAAGCGCGCGUAGGCGGCUAAGCAAGUUGGGUGUGAAAGCCCAGGGCUCAACCCUGGAACUGCAUUCAAAACUAUUUAGCUAGAGUACGAGAGAGGAGAGUAGAAUUUCUGGUGUAGCGGUGAAAUGCGUAGAUAUCAGAAGGAAUACCAAUGGCGAAGGCAGCUCUCUGGAUCGUCACUGACGCUAAGGUGCGAAAGCGUGGGUAGCAAACAGGAUUAGAUACCCUGGUAGUCCACGCCGUAAACGAUGAGAACUAGCCGUUGGGAGGGAUUAACCUUUCAGUGGCGCAGCUNACGCAUUAAGUUCUCCGCCUGGGGACUA